GGGGAAUAUUGGACAAUGGGCGCAAGCCUGAUCCAGCCAUACCGCGUGGGUGAAGAAGGCCUUCGGGUUGUAAAGCCCUUUUGUUGGGAAAGAAAUCCUAUCGGUUAAUAACCGGUGGGGAUGACGGUACCCAAAGAAUAAGCACCGGCUAACUUCGUGCCAGCAGCCGCGGUAAUACGAAGGGUGCAAGCGUUACUCGGAAUUACUGGGCGUAAAGCGUGCGUAGGUGGUGGUUUAAGUCUGCUGUGAAAGCCCUGGGCUCAACCUGGGAAUUGCAGUGGAUACUGGAUCACUAGAGUGUGGUAGAGGGAUGCGGAAUUUCUGGUGUAGCAGUGAAAUGCGUAGAGAUCAGAAGGAACAUCCGUGGCGAAGGCGGCAUCCUGGGCCAACACUGACACUGAGGCACGAAAGCGUGGGGAGCAAAC
This 425-nucleotide ribosomal RNA is filed under the name uncultured bacterium. Its description in RNAcentral is "bacterial SSU rRNA". It matches the Rfam family "Bacterial small subunit ribosomal RNA", at positions 356 to 773 of the family's 1533-position model. The record is from RNAcentral.